GUUUGAUCCUGGCUCAGGACGAACGCUUGCGGCGUGCUUAACACAUGCAAGUCGAACGGAAAGGCCCUUCGGGGUACUCGAGUGGCGAACGGGUGAGUAACACGUGGGUGAUCUGCCCUGCACUUUGGGAUAAGCCUGGGAAACUGGGUCUAAUACCGAAUAGGACCACGCGCUUCAUGGUGUGUGGUGGAAAGCUUUUGCGGUGUGGGAUGGGCCCGCGGCCUAUCAGCUUGUUGGUGGGGUAAUGGCCUACCAAGGCGACGACGGGUAGCCGGCCUGAGAGGGUGACCGGCCACACUGGGACUGAGAUACGGCCCAGACUCCUACGGGAGGCAGCAGUGGGGAAUAUUGCACAAUGGGCGCAAGCCUGAUGCAGCGGCGCCGCGUGAGGGAUGACGGCCUUCGGGUUGUAAACCUCUUUCAAUAGGGACGAAGCGUGAGUGACGGUACCUAUAGAAGAAGCACCGGCCAACUACGUGCCAGCAGCCGCGGUAAUACGUAGGGUGCGGGCGUUGUCCGGAAUUACUGGGCGUAAAGAGCUCGUAGGUGGUUUGUCGCGUUGCUCGUGAAAACUCACAGCUUAACUGUGGGCGUGCGGGCGAUACGGGCAGACUAGAGUACUGCAGGGGAGACUGGAAUUCCUGGUGUAGCGGUGGAAUGCGCAGAUAUCAGGAGGAACACCGGUGGCGAAGGCGGGUCUCUGGGCAGUAACUGACGCUGAGGAGCGAAAGCGUGGGGAGCGAACAGGAUUAGAUACCCUGGUAGUCCACGCCGUAAACGGUGGGUACUAGGUGUGGGUUCCUUCCUUGGGAUCCGUGCCGUAGCUAACGCAUUAAGUACCCCGCCUGGGGAGUACGGCCGCAAGGCUAAAACUCAAAGGAAUUGACGGGGGCCCGCACAAGCGGCGGAGCAUGUGGAUUAAUUCGAUGCAACGCGAAGAACCUUACCUGGGUUUGACAUGCACAGGACGCCGGCAGAGAUGUCGGUUCCCUUGUGGCCUGUGUGCAGGUGGUGCAUGGCUGUCGUCAGCUCGUGUCGUGAGAUGUUGGGUUAAGUCCCGCAACGAGCGCAACCCUUGUCCUAUGUUGCCAGCGGGUUAUGCCGGGGACUCGUAGGAGACUGCCGGGGUCAACUCGGAGGAAGGUGGGGAUGACGUUAAGUCAUCAUGCCCCUUAUGUCCAGGGCUUCACACAUGCUACAAUGGCCGGUACAAAGGGCUGCGAUGCCGUGAGGUGGAGCGAAUCCUUUCAAAGCCGGUCUCAGUUCGGAUCGGGGUCUGCAACUCGACCCCGUGAAGUCGGAGUCGCUAGUAAUCGCAGAUCAGCAACGCUGCGGUGAAUACGUUCCCGGGCCUUGCACUCACCGCCCGUCAAG
This 1374-nucleotide ribosomal RNA is filed under the name uncultured bacterium. Its description in RNAcentral is "bacterial SSU rRNA". It matches the Rfam family "Bacterial small subunit ribosomal RNA". The record is from RNAcentral.